AGGGAGUCAGGAGAAUGACCAUCCAGAAGAAGAUCCAUGUCUGCCACAGGACUCGUCUGGUAUGUUUUGUGGCUUUCCUUGUUUGGAGAAUGAAGAUUGGAGUUCACAGAUGUGCACAGAGGAGGCUGCUCAUGUGUCUGAUAGUACAGAGGCAC
This 155-nucleotide long non-coding RNA is filed under the name Dermacentor andersoni. Its description in RNAcentral is "uncharacterized LOC126530053". The record is from RNAcentral. Lineage: Eukaryota; Metazoa; Arthropoda; Arachnida; Ixodida; Ixodidae.